Molecule: ribosomal RNA, 388 nt
Filed under: uncultured bacterium
Lineage: Bacteria
Description: bacterial SSU rRNA
Rfam family: Bacterial small subunit ribosomal RNA
Source: RNAcentral
AAUGAACGCUGGCGGCGCGCCUAAUACAUGCAAGUCGAGCGAGAAGACGUAGCAAUACGUUUGUAAAGCGGCGAACGGGUGAGGAAUACAUGGGUAACCUACCCUCGAGUGGGGAAUAACUAGCCGAAAGGUUAGCUAAUACCGCGUACGCUUCUUGGACUUCGGUUCAGGGAGGAAAGCGAUGCCGAGGGUAUCGCGCUCUUGGAUGGGCUCAUGUCCUAUCAGCUUGUUGGNGAGGUAACGGCUCACCAAGGCUUCGACGGGUAGCUGGUCUGAGAGGACGAUCAGCCACACUGGCACUGCGACACGGGCCAGACUCCUACGGGAGGCAGCAGUAAGGAAUAUUGCGCAAUGGGCGAAAGCCUGACGCAGCGACGCCGCGUGGGGG